CUAUGUGUUUCGCAUUUCAGUUUUUUCCUGUUGCCACACCCUUGUCCUUAUUUGGUCUGUUUCCUGUCUUGCCUAUUAUCUCCCAAUUACCUUCCCACCUGCAUUUUAUCUCAGUUUGUUUGUUGAGUAUUUAAACCCUGUGUUGUUCGUUGUUCUUUGUCUGAUCGUUGUGUCUGUGUUUGUGAGACCUGCCUAAGAGUACCUGUUACCGGCAUGUAAGCGCUGCCGACUUUUCAGUUUUUUGUGCUCUGUUUAGUUUUGAACUCAUCCCGCCUGAGAGGUCUUUUUGUUAUCGAGAGCCUGUUUUUGUUGAUGAUCAAGUUUGUGGAGUAUUGAAUAUUUUCACUCCAAUAAACCAAGACUGCAAGAUAUUCUGUAAUCUGCAUUUGAUUCCUCUGACCACCCUGACAGUAUGAUCAGACCAAGAUGGAAUCAGCAGAUUUCACACAGCUCAAGUCUGUUCUGGAGAGACCGGGAGUGAUGAUUGGGAAACAUGAGAACCAGUUCGAUUCCGUGCAGAAGUCCUUGGAUUCCAUUGCAUCCAACCUCACCGAUCUGGCUGCCCAGCUGCAACACCUCCAGCUCCCGGCGUCCAAGCCGCCGCCUCAGUCCCGAGUGACUGGCUCAGCCUCUUUUUUCACGCAGCAGAAUCCUAACCCUGAGCCUCGGCUGCCUCCCCCUGAACCCUACAGUGGGGAUCCUGGAACCUGCAGGUCUUUUCUAUCUCAGUGCUCCCUGGUGUUCCAGCUUCAACCAGCAACCUUCCCAACCGACCGGUCCCAGAUUGCCUAUGUCAUUACUCGCCUGACGGGCCGGGCCCGUGAGUGGGGAACAGCCAUAUGGGACGCAGAUGCUCCAGCCUGCCACUCCUUUGAUCAAGGUCUUCGACAGAUCUUUCCAAGGUCGGGAGGCUGCCAGGGAGAUACUCCAGUCCAGACAGGGGAAGAGGUCCGUAUCAGAUUUUGCCAUCGAUUUUCGCACUCUAGCGACCACCAGUGGCUGGAAUGUCGAUGCCCAGCUUGAUGUCUUCCUCAAUGGUCUCUCUGACUCAAUCAAGGAUGAACUGCUUACCCUUGAGUUGCCUCAGGAUUUUGAUGGUCUGGUGGACCUAGCGAUUCGCAUUGAGAAGCGGCUUAAGCAGCGUCAUAGUGAGCGAGGUUAUAACCGAGGAUGGAGGUCACCUGCUGCAUCAACCCACAGUGUCUCACCGCCUCCUGCUGCCUCCAGUGAUUCCCCUGAACCCAUGCAAGUGGAUCGAGCCCGUUUGUCUCCAGCUGAGAGGAAGAGGAGGAUGGACUCCAGUUCUUGCCUGUAUUGUGGCCAACCCGGUCAUUUUGUUGCCCAUUGCCCGGUAAAAGGCAACGCUCACCUGUGAAGGGGGAGUUACUGGUGAGCGCUACUCUUCUACCUCCCUCUACUACCCGUUUCCUCAUCUCAGCCACCCUCACUGCCGGGAGUCGCCGCCACCCUGUGUCCGUCCUCAUUGAUUCUGGCGCUGAUGGGAAUUUCCUGGAUGCUCGUCUGGCUGCUGAACUCUGUCUCUCGCCCAUCAAGCUCCAACAGCCUCUUGAGGCAAAGGCCUUGACCAGGGUGAAAUUGGCCCUGGUGUCCCACAUCUCCCCACCCUUGGGUCUGCUCAUUUCUGGAAACCACCAGGAGGCGUUGUCCUUUCACCUGCUAGAGUCCCCACAUGCACCUAUUGUCCUGGGCCAUCCAUGGCUGAUCCUUCUAGUGCAGCUCCUCUCAUGGACGACCUUGUCAGGGGUACCCCCGGAGUAUCUGGAUCUCAAGGCUGUUUUCAGCAAGGCCCGAGCUACCUCAUUGCCACCUCACCGCCCGUAUGAUAUGGCCAUUGAUCUUCUGCCUGGUACGUCGCCCCCUAGGGGUCGUCUCUACCUAUUAUCCAUUCCUGAAACUAAGGCCUUGAAUGAAAUAUAUUGGGGACUCUCUAGCCGCAGGAAUCAUUCGACCCUCCUCCUCUCUUGCCGGGGCGGGGUUUUUCUUUGUGGGGAAGAAAGACGGCUCCUUGCGCCCCUGCAUAGAUUACAGGGGUCUGAAUGACAUCACCAUCAAGAACCGCUACCCGCUCCCCUGGCUUUUGAGCAACUACAGGGGGCCAAGAUUUUUUCAAAACUCUACCUCCGUAGUGCCUACCACUUGGUCCGAAUAAGGGAAGGGGAUGAGUGGAAAACUGCAUUCAACACGCUAUCUGGUCACUAUGAAUACCUGGUCAUGCCUUUCGGUCUAACUAAUUGCCCAGCGUCUUAUAAAUGAUGUCCUCCGGGACCUGUUGGGAAAAUUUGUGUUUGUUUAUCUGUAUGACAUUAUUUUUUUUUUUUUUUUUUCCCCAAUCUGUCUCCCAGCAUGUUCAACAUGUCCGCUGUGUCCUUCAACGCUUGCUCGAGAAUCAGCUCUUCGUCAAAGCAGAGAAAUGUGAAUUCCACAAGGAGACAAUUUCCUUCCUGGGCUUCGUAAUAACAUCUGGGGGAAUUAAGAUGGAUAGUCCCAAGGUCAAGGCUGUUACUGACUGGCCUCAGCCAACCACUAGACGGGAGCUCCAGGCGUUUCUGGGAUUUGUUAACUUUUAUAGGCGUUUUAUAAGAAAUUAUGGCACAGUGGCUGCGCCCCUCACGUCCUUGACCUCUUCCAAGGUACCUUUUUCCUGGACCCCUGCCGCCGAAGAGGCUUUUGUGCAGCUUAAGAAGCUUUUUACUACUGCCCCUAUUUUGUGCCGUCCAGACCUGACUCGCCAAUUCAUUGUUGAGGUAGAUGCCUCAAAUGUAGGUGUGGGGGCGGUUCUGUCCCAGCACUCCGCCACCGAUCAGAAGGUCCACCUCUGCGCGUUUUACUCCCAUCGACUCACCCCGACCGAGCGCAACUAUGACGUAGGGGACAGAGAGCUGCUGGCCGUCAAGCUCGCACUCGAGGAGUGGCGCCAUCUGUUGGAGGGCACUGAGAAACCAUUUUUAGUGUGGACAGACCACAUAAACCUGGAAUACUUGCGUUCAGCCAAACGUUUAAAUCCUCGUCAAGUCUGUUGGUCUCUAUUCUUCUCCAGGUUCAACUUCUCUCUGUCUUUCCGUCCAGGCUCUAAGAAUGGCUAACCUGACGCACUCUCCCGCCAGUUCCCAGAUUCUGGUUCUGUGCCCGCUCCCAGUACCAUCCUGCCUCUUCAGUGUGUUGUGGGGGCCGUCACUUGGGACAUAAGAGCCCACCGUCCACACUGCCCAGUCUGGUGAGUCCACUCCUUCUGCCUGUUCUCCUAACCAACUUUUUGUGCCUCAAUCUGUCCGUCCCCAGGUCAUGCAGUGGGCUCACACCACUAAACUAACCUGCCACCCUGGAGUGAGGCGCACUAUGGCGUUCAUAUGACAGCGCUUCUGGUGGCCGGCUAUGGAGAGAGAUGUAAAGCGCUUUGUGGAUGCCUGUCCUACAUGUGCCCAGAACAAACCAUCUAACCAACCACCUGCUGGCCUUCUGCAACCCCUCCUGGUCCCCAAGAGACCCUGGUCCCACAUAGCCCUGGACUUUGUCACUGGCCUGCCCACGUCCCACGGCCUGUCCCCAUUCCAGUGUUGUCUCGGCUACCAGCCUCCAGUGUUCCCAGCUCAGGAGGAGGAUGUUGGGGUUCCGUCGGCGCAGGCCUUCAUCCGACGAUGCCGACGGACGUGGAAGCGCACCAGGUCAACUCUGCUUCGAGUCCAGGCGAGGGUCAAGGUACAGGCGGAUCGCCAUCGCUCCAAGGCUCCACACUAUGUCCAAGGACAGCGGGUCUGGCUGUCAACCCGUGAUCUCCCCCUGAAGGUGGUCUCGCCCAAGUUGAAUCCCCGCUUCAUUGGUCCGUACCCCAUCAGCAAGGUCCUCGGCGGUUCGUCUGAAGCUCCCUUACCCCCCCCCCUCCGCCGCAUCCAUCCCACCUUCCAUGUGUCCCGCAUCAAGCCCUUUGUUUGCAGACCCAUAUGCCUCGCACCCAAACCCCCACCACCCGUCUGGUCGAUAUGUAAUCUACUUUCAAAUGUUUAGAACACAUUGAUUUUUG
This is an RNA transcript of Alosa sapidissima (American shad), 4039 nucleotides long. RefSeq lists it as uncharacterized. Lineage: Eukaryota; Metazoa; Chordata; Actinopteri; Clupeiformes; Clupeidae. The transcript has 3 exons. The record is from RefSeq and is a predicted model, not a curated record.